UUAUCCUUAAAGUAGCUCUACCCUUUUGGGGUUAUAUUUCAAUUCAAAAUUUUUUAAAAACUACAACAAAUCGCCUAAAAACUCGGUGUGAUUCGGAAUCGUAAUUUUUUUCCUCAUUUAAUUGUCGUUCAAGUUUUUCUAAAAGGAAAUGUUGAAAUCCAUUAUUUAACACAGGGUCUUAUGUGAAAAACGCUGAAUUUACCACAACUCUGGUUAAAACAAAGAUUAAAAUCUAAUUUUUUUUCCUAAAAACGAGAAAAAAAUAAUAAAAAAUAUUGGCACCUGUUGGAUAACGAUUUAUCGUUUAGUUUUUUUUAUUAUUAAUAAUACUGGCAACAGGAAUAGACAUGACAACAGUGACCAUGUGAUGGCGCCCGCUCCGUUCGUCUCCAACUUCCCAUAUGAUCGUACGGCGUUGCCAUAGUUAUUUGCAAGCUAGUCAAUUGAAAAACUGCUUAUGUGCACUUUAUUUAAAAAAAAUUGACAUAAGAUAAUACUUAUGCUCAUGACCUCUAUGAUUUAUUUUAUUAAUUUAGAGCUAGAAAUACUGAUUUUUAGAAUGUAUUUUUUGUGAAAUAGACUCAAUGACUCCAGCCGUAGAGGUAGAGCUACUUUAAGUCGAUCAGUAACCCCAAAAAUGUACACCAAAUGGUAGCUAGCGAAUGGACUAUGGGUGCGUUUUGCAAUCGAGAUAGUCACAGUAACAGUACUGCAACCCUAUCCAAUUUUGCUUGACUGCAGCUACGGUAGUUGAUUCCAAAAGAUCCGACAAAAAAUGCAAGGACAAAUUAAUCGUCUCAAUGAGUCUUUCGACCAAGCUCAGGGUCGUAUCCGAACUCUCCAAGGUCACGUGAAUUAUUUGAAAACAUCGUACAGCAAUGUUUUCAAUAUCCCUGUCCACGCAGAUGGUUCAACGUCUCCAUUACCCCAAGAAAAUAUGAACUCUAGCCCCUACGACGCAUGUGAUUGCAAUUCAUAAAUCUUCACUUUACGAAUAAAAUCAGGAAGGUUUUAACAAUUUUUUUUUUCAAUUAAAAAAAAACAAAUAUUUUACAUUACGAAAUUUUUUGUAAGUGGAUUUUAACUCUUGAAUAAAUAGAAUAUACUUUCA
Long non-coding RNA from Diachasma alloeum, 1111 nucleotides. RefSeq lists it as uncharacterized. Lineage: Eukaryota; Metazoa; Arthropoda; Insecta; Hymenoptera; Braconidae. The record is from RefSeq and is a predicted model, not a curated record. The transcript has 2 exons.